GUCAGUGAGUAGCUGCGGCCAGCUGCGCAAAACACCACCGCGCGGCGCUGCGCCACUGCACGACAUGGGCCGGCGUGACAUGCGGAACCCUUGGUCGCCCUUGUGAGGUCAGUAGUGGCAGAUCGCAGCCCGAUGGAAAAGCCAACUCGCCGACAACAGGUGCCACGGUGCCAGAAGAAAGCUAUCC
Molecule: long non-coding RNA, 187 nt
Organism: Schistocerca americana (American grasshopper)
Lineage: Eukaryota; Metazoa; Arthropoda; Insecta; Orthoptera; Acrididae
Exons: 3
Source: RefSeq, a predicted model, not a curated record